CAGCCGCCGCGGUAAUACGUAGGUGGCAAGCGUUGUCCGGAAUUAUUGGGCGUAAAGGGCUCGCAGGCGGUUUCUUAAGUCUGAUGUGAAAGCCCCCGGCUCAACCGGGGAGGGUCAUUGGAAACUGGGAAACUUGAGUGCAGAAGAGGAGAGUGGAAUUCCACGUGUAGCGGUGAAAUGCGUAGAGAUGUGGAGGAACACCAGAGGCGAAGGCGACUCUCUGGUCUGUAACUGACGCUGAGGAGCGAAAGCGUGGGGAGCGAACAGGAUUAGAUACCCCUGUAGUCCCUGUCUCUUAUAC
This 301-nucleotide ribosomal RNA is filed under the name uncultured bacterium. Its description in RNAcentral is "partial 16S ribosomal RNA". It matches the Rfam family "Bacterial small subunit ribosomal RNA", at positions 509 to 807 of the family's 1533-position model. The record is from RNAcentral.